AUUAAAGCAAAAAUAAAAAGGUGACCUUAAUAAUUAAUUACAAGACACAGAUUACAGAGGGAUCACAGCAACACUCAUCUAACAGGCAGCAACAACACAGAGCUGCUAGACAUCCUUCAAGAAAACCUCUAUUUUUCUGAGGAGGAGGAGGAGCAGCAUAUGUUGGUGGUGCCAUCACAGGAGGAGGACCACCUUGAUAAUACCCUUGACCUUGAGAGGGAUAUGGAUAACCAUAUUUUGGUGGUUCAUUCAUCAUGUUUUGAAAAUUAGUAACUCAACAGAGAAAAUUAAAGAAGAG
RNAcentral lists this unclassified non-coding RNA (298 nucleotides) under Hevea brasiliensis (rubber tree). Lineage: Eukaryota; Viridiplantae; Streptophyta; Magnoliopsida; Malpighiales; Euphorbiaceae. The record is from RNAcentral.